Molecule: long non-coding RNA, 226 nt
Filed under: Camelus dromedarius (Arabian camel)
Lineage: Eukaryota; Metazoa; Chordata; Mammalia; Artiodactyla; Camelidae
Description: lncRNA (ENSCDRG00005018411.1)
Source: RNAcentral
CCAAAUACAGUUUAUUCCAAAUAGAUGUUUCUAGUUGUUUCAUCAAAAUGAUAUUCUUUAUGCUCCACCCAUUUCCAGCCCUCAGAAAAGUCCACUUGAAAUAUGGAUUUUCAAGUCAAAUCUUGUCAGUCAGCUCCUCUCCAGCUCGAACCCAGAAGGAACUGGCCAACUGAUCCAUCCUUGGUUUGCAAAUGAGAGAGAUGCAGCUGCAGGUGAGAAAGCACAC